GCUGGUUAGCGUAGUUGGUAGAAAGCUCUUCUAGAAAAGGAGAGGUCCCGGGUUCGAUACCCGGACCAGGCG
This 72-nucleotide transfer RNA is filed under the name Ixodes scapularis (black-legged tick). Its description in RNAcentral is "tRNA-Ser for anticodon AGA". The record is from RNAcentral. Lineage: Eukaryota; Metazoa; Arthropoda; Arachnida; Ixodida; Ixodidae.